RNAcentral lists this ribosomal RNA (253 nucleotides) under uncultured bacterium. Its description in RNAcentral is "partial 16S ribosomal RNA". It matches the Rfam family "Bacterial small subunit ribosomal RNA", at positions 524 to 776 of the family's 1533-position model. The record is from RNAcentral.
UACGAGAGGCCCAAACGUUGUUCGGAAUUACUGGGCGUAAAGGGCGCGUAGGCGGCCUGCUAAGUCGAACGUGAAAUCCCCGGGCUCAACCCGGGAACUGCGUCCGAUACUGGCAGGCUUGAGUUCGGGAGAGGGAUGCGGAAUUCCAGGUGUAGCGGUGAAAUGCGUAGAUAUCUGGAGGAACACCGGUGGCGAAGGCGGCAUCCUGGACCGAAAUUGACGCUGAGGCGCGAAAGCCAGGGGAGCAAACGGG